GUUGACCUCGGAUCAGGUAGGGAUACCCGCUGAACUUAAGCAUAUCAAUAAGCGGAGGAAAAGAAACCAACAGGGAUUACCUCAGUAACGGCGAGUGAAGCGGUAACAGCUCAAAUUUGAAAGCUGGCUCUUUUAGAGUCCGCGUUGUAAUUUGUAGAAGAUGCUUCGGGUGUGGCCCCGGUCUAAGUUCCUUGGAACAGGACGUCAUAGAGGGUGAGAAUCCCGUAUGUGACUGGGUGCUUUCGCUCAUGUGAAGCUCUUUCGACGAGUCGAGUUGUUUGGGAAUGCAGCUCAAAAUGGGUGGUAAAUUUCAUCUAAAGCUAAAUAUUGGCCAGAGACCGAUAGCGCACAAGUAGAGUGAUCGAAAGAUGAAAAGCACUUUGGAAAGAGAGUUAAACAGUACGUGAAAUUGUUGAAAGGGAAGCGCUUGCAACCAGACUUGCGCGCUGAUGAUCAUCCGGGCUUCUGCCCGGUGCACUCGUCUGCGCUCAGGCCAGCAUCGGUUUCGGUGGUGGGAUAAAGGCCUUGGGAAUGUAGCUCCUCCCGGGGAGUGUUAUAGCCCUCGGUGCAAUGCCGCCCACCGGGACCGAGGACCGCGCUUCGGCUAGGAUGCUGGCGUAAUGGUUGUAAGCGACCCGUCUUGAAACACGGACCAAGGAGUCUAACAUCUAUGCGAGUGUUUGGGUGUCAAACCCAUACGCGUAAUGAAAGUGAACGGAGGUGAGAACCCUUAAGGGUGCAUCAUCGACCGAUCCUGAUGUCUUCGGAUGGAUUUGAGUAAGAGCAUAGCUGUUGGGACCCGAAAGAUGGUGAACUAUGCGUGAAUAGGGUGAAGCCAGAGGAAACUCUGGUGGAGGCUCGCAGCGGUUCUGACGUGCAAAUCGAUCGUCAAAUUUGCGUAUAGGGGCGAAAGACUAAUCGAACCAUCUAGUAGCUGGUUCCU
RNAcentral lists this ribosomal RNA (943 nucleotides) under Mastigosporium album. RNAcentral describes it as "eukaryotic LSU rRNA". It matches the Rfam family "Eukaryotic large subunit ribosomal RNA", at positions 1 to 959 of the family's 3401-position model. Lineage: Eukaryota; Fungi; Ascomycota; Leotiomycetes; Helotiales. The record is from RNAcentral.